GAAAUGCGAUAAGUAAUGUGAAUUGCAGAAUUCAGUGAAUCAUCGAAUCUUUGAACGCACCUUGCGCUCCUUGGUAUUCCUUGGAGCAUGCCUGUUUGAGUAUCAUGAAAUCUUCAAAGUAAAUCUUUUGUUAACUCAAUUGGUUUCUACUUUGGUAUUGGAGGUCUUUGCAGCUUCACACCUGCUCCUCUUUGUUCAUUAGCUGGAUCUCAGUGUUAUGCUUGGUUCCACUCGGCGUGAUAAGUUAUCUAUCGCUGAGGACGCUGUAAAAGGUGGCCGAGGUAAAUGCAGAUGAACCGCUUCUAAUAGUCCAUUGACUUGGACAAUACUUUUAUGAUCUGAUCUCAAAUCAGGUAGGACUACCCGCUGAACUUAAGC
RNAcentral lists this unclassified non-coding RNA (378 nucleotides) under plant metagenome. Its description in RNAcentral is "partial contains 5.8S ribosomal RNA, internal transcribed spacer 2, and large subunit ribosomal RNA". The stretch from base 1 to 105 matches the Rfam family "5.8S ribosomal RNA", at positions 50 to 154 of the family's 154-position model. The record is from RNAcentral.